AACUACUCUUAGGUUGAUGCAGAAGUAACUAUGGUUUUUGCAACUGAAAGUAAUGGCAAAGACCACGACUACUUUUGCAACAGCCUAAUAAUUUCU
Molecule: microRNA precursor, 96 nt
Filed under: Chlorocebus sabaeus (green monkey)
Lineage: Eukaryota; Metazoa; Chordata; Mammalia; Primates; Cercopithecidae
Description: miRNA (ENSCSAG00000020856.1)
Source: RNAcentral